AGUGCAGUCAUAAACAGGUUCUCAGCAGACUUGGAAGGCGGCACUAUCUACGUUUCCCUGUUUCCAUGCAACCAGUGUGCCAAGAUCAUCAUCCAGUCCGGCAUCAAGGAAGUUGUCUACUACUCCGACAAGAAAAAUGACAAGGAGGAAGUAGAAGCCGCGAAGAUAUUGUUUGAAGAGGCUCGUGUCAAAACUAGACAGUAUGACCGGAAUAAACGCACGAAAGUUGAGGUGGAUUUCGAGUCCAUUGAAAAAGAGCCUCAGCCCC
Molecule: long non-coding RNA, 268 nt
Organism: Haliotis rubra (blacklip abalone)
Lineage: Eukaryota; Metazoa; Mollusca; Gastropoda; Lepetellida; Haliotidae
Exons: 2
Source: RefSeq, a predicted model, not a curated record